RNAcentral lists this ribosomal RNA (252 nucleotides) under uncultured bacterium. RNAcentral's name for it is "partial 16S ribosomal RNA". It matches the Rfam family "Bacterial small subunit ribosomal RNA", at positions 524 to 776 of the family's 1533-position model. The record is from RNAcentral.
UACGUAGGUGGCAAGCGUUGUCCGGAUUUACUGGGCGUAAAGGGUGCGCAGGCGGCCGAGUGUGUCAGAUGUGAAAUCCCGAGGCUCAACCUCGGAACUGCGUCUGAAACUACUCGGCUAGAGUAUUGGAGAGGGUAACGGAAUUCACGGUGUAGCAGCGAAAUGCGUAGAUAUCGUGAGGAACACCAGAGGCGAAGGCGGUUACCUGGACAAUUACUGACGCUCAGGCACGAAGCGUGGGGAGCAAAAGGG